CCUACGGGGUGCUGCAGUGGGGAAUAUUGGACAAUGGGCGUAAGCCUGAUCCAGCCAUGCCGCGUGUGUGAAGAAGGCCUUCGGGUUGUAAAGCACUUUCAGUGGGGAAGAAAGCCUUGGGGCUAAUACCCUCGAGGAAGGACAUCACCCACAGAAGAAGCACCGGCUAACUCCGUGCCAGCAGCCGCGGUAAUACGGAGGGUGCGAGCGUUAAUCGGAAUUACUGGGCGUAAAGCGCGCGUAGGCGGUCUGAUAAGCCGGUUGUGAAAGCCCCGGGCUCAACCUGGGAACGGCAUCCGGAACUGUCAGGCUAGAGUGCAGGAGAGGAAGGUAGAAUUCCCGGUGUAGCGGUGAAAUGCGUAGAGAUCGGGAGGAAUACCAGUGGCGAAGGCGGCCUUCUGGACUGACACUGACGCUGAGGUGCGAAAGCGUGGGUAGCAAACAGGAUUAGAUACCCCAGUAGUC
This 465-nucleotide ribosomal RNA is filed under the name Vreelandella stevensii. RNAcentral's name for it is "partial 16S ribosomal RNA". It matches the Rfam family "Bacterial small subunit ribosomal RNA", at positions 338 to 795 of the family's 1533-position model. The record is from RNAcentral. Lineage: Bacteria; Pseudomonadati; Pseudomonadota; Gammaproteobacteria; Oceanospirillales; Halomonadaceae.